This 437-nucleotide ribosomal RNA is filed under the name uncultured Oscillospiraceae bacterium. Its description in RNAcentral is "bacterial SSU rRNA". It matches the Rfam family "Bacterial small subunit ribosomal RNA", at positions 341 to 792 of the family's 1533-position model. Lineage: Bacteria; Bacillati; Bacillota; Clostridia; Eubacteriales; Oscillospiraceae. The record is from RNAcentral.
ACGGGAGGCAGCAGUGGGGAAUAUUGGGCAAUGGGCGAAAGCCUGACCCAGCGACGCCGCGUGAGGGAAGAAGAUCUUCGGAUUGUAAACCUCUUUCAGCAGGGAAGAAGAAAGUGACGGUACCACAUGAAUAAGCCCCGGCUAACUACGUGCCAGCAGCCGCGGUAAUACGUAGGGGGCGAGCGUUAUCCGGAUUUACUGGGUGUAAAGGGCGCGUAGGCGGGGAUGCAAGUCAGAUGUGAAAUCCAUGGGCUCAACUCAUGAACUGCAUUUGAAACUGUAUCUCUUGAGUGCUGGAGAGGUAGACGGAAUUCCUUGUGUAGCGGUGAAAUGCGUAGAUAUAAGGAGGAACACCAGUGGCGAAGGCGGUCUACUGGACAGUAACUGACGCUGAGGCGCGAAAGCGUGGGGAGCAAACAGGAUUAGAUACCCUGGUA